AUCCAGCUUUUGCUUUUGCUUUCUUUUGUAUUUUAUUUAAGUUAAUCAAGUUUUGCUUCAUGUCUUUUGUAGGAAUUUAAAGAUAAUAUUGACUAAGUUGGGGGGAGAACCAAUUUUGAGAAGACUUCUGGAUCAGGUGACAUCUCUUCUUUUUUUUUUUUUUUUAUAUGCACCCUUCAUUUUUCUUACUCCAUUAUAGAC
This 201-nucleotide long non-coding RNA is filed under the name Elaeis guineensis (African oil palm). Its description in RNAcentral is "long non-coding RNA (EGUI_LNC043579)". Lineage: Eukaryota; Viridiplantae; Streptophyta; Magnoliopsida; Arecales; Arecaceae. The record is from RNAcentral.